RNAcentral lists this ribosomal RNA (451 nucleotides) under uncultured bacterium. RNAcentral's name for it is "partial 16S ribosomal RNA". It matches the Rfam family "Bacterial small subunit ribosomal RNA", at positions 329 to 795 of the family's 1533-position model. The record is from RNAcentral.
UACCAGACUCCUACGGGAGGCAGCAGUGGGGGAUAUUGCACAAUGGGGGAAACCCUGAUGCAGCGACGCCGCGUGGGCGAAGAAGUAUUUCGGUAUGUAAAGCCCUAUCAGCAGGGAAGAAGAAAUGACGGUACCUGAGUAAGAAGCACCGGCUAAAUACGUGCCAGCAGCCGCGGUAAUACGUAUGGUGCAAGCGUUAUCCGGAUUUACUGGGUGUAAAGGGAGCGCAGGCGGCACGGCAAGCCUGAUGUGAAAGCCCGCGGCCCAACCGCGGGACUGCAUUGGGAACUACCGGGCUGGAGUGCCGGAGAGGUAGGCGGAAUUCCUAGUGUAGCGGUGAAAUGCGUAGAUAUCACGCAGAACCCCGAUUGCGAAGGCAGCAUGCCGGCUUCCGACUGACGCUGAAGCACGAAAGCGUGGGGAUCGAACAGGAUUAGAUACCCUAGUAGAC